AUGUUGCUAAGCGCAAUGAAAACAUCGGAAUGACAGUGUGCUAGAUAGAAAGGCAUGAAUAUCAUAUGAAAGCAAAAUCGAACAGAUCAAAAUUAUAAAAGACAGUUAAAUCAUCAACAUGGCGAGUUAUUUAAGGGAUGCGGAUUCACGUGAAGGACUUCCAACGAUUCGAAGAACGGGUUUACUCGACUCGACCAGCUCUCCACACAGGAUAACCACAGUGGAAACCGAUGUCUUACACCGGUAUUCCUCUCCCAUCGCCACUACCACAUACACUACUGAUCCGAUCAUGAAUCCUCGGCCACCUUCUCCAUCACAAAGGAGGGCAGUGUCAGAUCUUACAGAUCAGGUGAAAACUUUCAAAGAAGAAUUGAGGAAAAAAGAUGCUCUGAUCCAGCAGCUUGUUAGCAUGGAGUCAGUUCCUAAAGUGACAGUACGGUCAGGAGCAGAUGCCUACAGACAUGAUGCUAUAUUUAUGGGUGACAGACAUGCAGUAGACACUGCUCGAACUGAAGCUGCCAGUCUUCAAGUCAAAAAUGAAAAAUUACAAAUCAAUAUUUGCGAGUUAAAGACCGAGCUAGAGGCCAAAGACAUAAAGAUAAAGGAGUUAAUGACACUGUAUGACACGAGUAAGGAUAAUGAACAUCGACUCACCUCUCUACUCGAGUCCCAUCGCCAACAAAUCAUGGAGCUGGAGGGCAAAGCAGGCAGUUAUGAAACUGCUGUUGGACGCAGUGAAUUCACUGUUUCUGCUCUUCAGCAGCAGAUACGCCAAGGACAAGAAAAGAUUUUAGAGUUAGAGUCCCGUCUGAGAACUCACCUUGAUGACCGUGAAUCUGCUGAAGUAAAAUGUCAGUCUGCAUCAAAACGCUACGAGGAGCUUCUUUCACAGAUCACAAGUCUUCUCCAAGUUGAGAGUAUCCAGAGUGGUUGCUCACUGUGUCCUGAGGACAUCCUUAGACGAUUAACAGAUCUUGUUCAAGAAAAUGCUUUACUCAAGGGUAAAAUUGUGACCAUGAGUGAGUGUCUGAACAGCACAGAGCUUGAGACCAAAGCAAGCAGGGAAACCAUUAUGAGGCUGGUGUCGGAGGUCGGCAAAGAACAAAAGAUUGCCACCAGAUACACUUCAGAAAUAGAAAGCCUCAGAAUGGAGCGAGAUGAAGCAUUGAAUUGUAGACAUGGUUACGAAAGAGAGAUAGAACUACUGAAGGAGCGACUAGAGGCUAGUCACAAGUCUGUAGAGGCUACACGAAGGGAGUUAGAACUACGAGAGACUAGAAUUAACUCCCUUGAUCGUGAGUACCGCAGCAAUCACCAUGACGUACAUGUGAUCACGACACAGCUAAUGACAAUGAAAGAAAAACUGGCUGCUAUCCUGAGCACAGCUGACUUCCGGUUGGAUAUGUCCGAGGAAGCAAUUGUAGCACGAAUUAAUACCCUCCUGCAGGAAAACUGUGAAUUCAUCAAUAGAAAUGAGUCCCUCCAGGAGCGUGUGAAGACCUUGACAGAACAGCUUGAGAGUCAGUACGAACUCCACAAGUCUGCCGCUGGAAGAGCACGCAAGGCUGAGGCAGACCUGUCAGAAUAUGAUUCACGGCUACGCAGUGCUGAGGGUGAGCUCACAGCUGGAGAUGUCCUCCGAGAUGGCUUGAGAGGAGAUAGGGAAAAGUACCUGAGAUGCCUACAACAGCUUGGUGAAGUCAUGAAAAUGGAACGCAUCUCAAAUGACUUAGGAUUAGACAUGACCAUCGAAGCCUUAAUGGCCCGAGCAGAUCAACUAGUCAAGAUGGAAAAAGAUGCACUGAUUGACAAGUCUACUCACAUUUACAACCUACAACGCAAAAUUAAGUCACUGAAGGAACAGUUGGAGAGCAAAGAUCUACACGUUGAUCUCCUCCGGAAAAAGAUGACCGGACUGGAAGAGAAGAUCAUAGGAAAAACAGAAAUUGAGAAGGAACGUGAUGGAGAGUCAUACAGAGUGCGAAAGCUGGAGAAGGUUGUUGAGAAGUACAAACUACAGAACCAGGAUCUUCGACAUGAACUCACCAACCUUAAGGCGAACUUACUUGGUUCCAGUGAAAUGAAGAUCCGUACACUGGAACAGAGGAAGGAGAUCGAGGAGCUCUGUGCACAGGUAGAAGAGCUUGAGAAACUGAGGUCACGACAGGCAAGCAAAAUAUCGAAACUGAAGAGUUCAGUUGAUCUUCAGGAAAACGAAUCCCAGGAAAAGAGGGUUAUUGCAGACAAUGCCGUACAGGCUCUGUCCAGUGAGUUAAGGACAACUAAGAAUGCUCUCAUCGCUAUACAGAACAGGGAGAAACAGUUGCUUGACUUCCGAGGUGUGGUAUCCCGAAUGCUUGGACUAGAUUUGAGUACCCUUGCUGUACCAGACUAUGAGAUCAUCUCGCGCUUGGAGAAGCUGAUACAGGCUCACCACAAUCACACCUUCACCACUAUGAGUAUGGAGGAGGCCCUAGCUGAUAUGGAGGAUGGUUUUAUGAGUGGCUUUGAGGAGUGCCACCCCAGAGUCACUACCCAACAGUCCACCAUUGGGCGGUCUAGGGAGCGGGCUCGUCGGAAGGCUGCACGCGCACGAGCACGAUCAGUUUCACCCCAACGACGGGAUCAUAGAGUGUACUGAAACUUGUCAUCUGACCCUCGGAUCCCUGUACAUGUUCAUCCAGUAGUCGUGGAAUAGUUCAAGUGCUGUCAGGGGUUUACAUAUCAUAAAUAGCCCAAGAUGUCUUCAACUGGGAAUACUAAAAUGUUAUCUUUCUCAAUAAAAACUAAAAGGAUAAUUAUUUAUUGCAGAGGUACAUCUUACUCUGAGAGCAUAUAUCUAUUUAUCAAAAUAUAACUUCAGUAGAAUCUCAGGUGGGCUAAAUGAUGACAGAUGAUUUAUUAGUCCUAUUUAAUGUUCUGUAGGGUAAAUGAUGUAUACUCCAAUAUUUCUUCAACAAAUGUAGUGCUGGCAGUUAUUAUAAAAUUCAAAGAAAGUAGUGUAACUUUGGAUUAUACAUUAAUGCAGAUACAUGUAUAAUAGCAAUAUAUCUACAUGUAGACAAACACUGCAUCAUUCCCUCUCUCUCCUUCAUUUCUCUAGGUGUUGGGAUAAAUCUAUCAUAGGCAGCAUAUACAGUGUUGUAGGAGUCAUUGACUUACAUGUCACCCGGUAAAUAGAGUAGUCUCCCUUGCUGGUGCUAACCUGCACCAGACAGGACGGGUACAUCAAAGAUUUCACAUCCCUUUGAAACUUGUCUUUCAGACUUAAGCUUUUUGUGUUAGGAAACCAGAGUAGAUUUUUAUAAACUAAACAGCAUGCUUCAUAUUUUCAAUAUUUGUUAAUUUUUAAUUCAUGUAUACUUGUAUAUGUUGAGAUGUAAUGAAUGCUAAUACCAGAGAAAGUAAGGGACUUUGUGAUGUUAGGUGUUUUAUGAUGUAGCAGCACGGUGAAAUCUCACCAUCGAAUACUUGUAUAAAAAAGUAUUUCUGGAAAAAUCUAGAAACACAAGAUUUCUCGGACUUUCCUCACUGUCCUCAAGAAUGUGAUAAUAGUACAAUUGUUUACAUUUUUUGUAGUUUAGUUUUUAAUGAUACUGAUAUAUAUAUGUAUGAAUUAAGUUCGAACCAUGUCUCAUAAGGAAGGCUUUAACUUAAAAAAUAAAUUCAUCAUAUGGCUGUGAAGGGGAAUUAUUGUAACAUUAGUGUAGGCAAUACUUUCUCUUAGAUUCCUUUGAUGUUGUUAAUUAUUUUCCAUGUCAUUGAAUCAUUGUAGUUGUAGCUCUAGUCUAUUCCAGGGGAUGCACCGUUAGGCAUUUUGAUAUACCUAGCUUUUUAAUGUAUAUGUAUUUAUAAAAUAAUGGGUGAUUUACUGAAUGACAAUUUGGAUUGAUGACAAAUUAAGAAAUGCUUACUUUUAAAUAAUAAAGAAUAAAUAGUUUUUAUAUUUUGAUUGUUAUACUAGUAAAUAUAAUUUAAACCCCAAACCGAUUUUUAUGGAAGAAGUUUUUUUUAAGAUAGAAGUGAUUUGUUUUGAAUUAAUGUAAAGUUUUAAAUUUAUACUCAUGCUCAAAUCAAAAGAUACAAUUUCUUUCAUUGUAUUCUCAUCUCCUAAUUUCCCCCUAACAUUUUAAUAUUGUGAUAUUGUUAUAAUGACAAGUGACCUUUUUAUAUUGUUAAUAUGUAAAGUUGAAUUCAUGUAUCAUAUACAGUCAAAUAAUGCAUUUUGAUGUCAGCUAGUGAUUUGACCAAAAAAAACAACAUAUAAAAGAUUUUGAUGUUAAUUUGAAUAUUAUUGACAACAUUUAAAUGGCGACUUUUUGUGACAUAUAAUACUGCAUUACUGAUAGUAAGUCUAUACUUGGUGAUAAAUUCAUCCUAAUUAUCACUCUCCGAGUAACUAGAACCAUGUGGGCAUGUCAUGUUGCUGUCACGUAAAAAUGAUUAUGUCAGCAGUCAUGUACAUCAUCGAUCAAUCAUAAAUUCAGUGUAAUUCACCGAUAAAUUCAGUGUAAUUUAGCAACUGUAAAUUAACUAGUGCAAGUCACCAAUGAAAUCAGUGUAAAUCGCCAAUUGAAUUGGUGUAAAUCGCCAAUUGAAUUGGUGUAAAUCGCCAAUUGAAUCAGUGUAAAUCGACAAUUGAAUCAGUGUAAAUCGAUAAUUGAAUUGGUGUAAAUCGCCAAUGGAAUCAGUGUAAAUCGCCAAUGGAAUCAGUGUAAAUACAUUUGAAUUCAGUGUAAAUCAACUAUGAAGUAUGUGUAGUUUAUGACUACAGCACUUGUUCAGAGUAUUGUCCCUCAUUCAUAUCACAAAAUAAUAUCCGACAUUUGUAAUAUUUUUGAUGUUUACAUGGUAGUGCCACGCAGUCCUAGAGAUGAAGAUUGACCCAUACCUCUGUAGACAGGUGACACAUUUGUAGAUACUUAUACUGGUAUAAUGUAUACAGAGGUAGAUCUUCAUUACACUAUUUAUACUAUUUGUUCCAAUCUUUGUAGUGAAGAAGCUUUUUAUAUGUUCUUGUGAUCCUUGUUUAUACUGUACAGAUGUAUAUAGGAAUAACAUAUCCACAUUGUCCAUCUCUAAUAAAUCUGAUACUGCCAUGA
Molecule: RNA transcript, 5102 nt
Organism: Pecten maximus
Lineage: Eukaryota; Metazoa; Mollusca; Bivalvia; Pectinida; Pectinidae
Gene name: coiled-coil domain-containing protein 170-like
Exons: 13
Source: RefSeq, a predicted model, not a curated record